GAUUUCAAUUGAAAAAGUCAUCAACAACAAAGUUGAAUAACUCAUCAAGAUCUAAAACUUUUAUUUUUGUUAUUUCUUCAUCCGACGAAAUGUUAGUAAUAUUAUUCACAAAAUUUACAUAUAUGUGUUAUAGUUUAUAAAACCAGAUAAGAGAUAUGUCAAUUUUGUGAACAAUGUUACUAUCACUUUGUCGUAUGAAGAAAUGAUCAAAAUAAAAGUUUUAGAUCUUGACGAGUUAUUCAACUUUGUUGUUGAUGACUUUUUCAAUUGAUAUC
Molecule: microRNA precursor, 275 nt
Filed under: Oryza nivara
Lineage: Eukaryota; Viridiplantae; Streptophyta; Magnoliopsida; Poales; Poaceae
Description: MIR821 microRNA precursor family
Rfam family: MIR821 microRNA precursor family
Source: Rfam by way of RNAcentral